GAUGAACGCUGGCGGCGUGCCUAAUACAUGCAAGUCGAGCGAACAGACGAGGAGCUUGCUCCUCUGACGUUAGCGGCGGACGGGUGAGUAACACGUGGAUAACCUCCCUAUAAGACUGGGAUAACUUCGGGAAACCGGAGCUAAUACCGGAUAAUAUAUUGAACCGCAUGGUUCAAUAGUGAAAGACGGUUUUGCUGUCACUUAUAGAUGGAUCCGCGCCGCAUUAGCUAGUUGGUAAGGUAACGGCUUACCAAGGCAACGAUGCGUAGCCGACCUGAGAGGGUGAUCGGCCACACUGGAACUGAGACACGGUCCAGACUCCUACGGGAGGCAGCAGUAGGGAAUCUUCCGCAAAGGGCGAAAGCCUGACGGAGCAACGCCGCGUGAGUGAUGAAGGUCUUCGGAUCGUAAAACUCUGUUAUUAGGGAAGAACAAAUGUGUAAGUAACUAUGCACGUCUUGACGGUACCUAAUCAGAAAGCAACGGCUAACUACGUG
RNAcentral lists this ribosomal RNA (497 nucleotides) under uncultured bacterium. RNAcentral describes it as "partial 16S ribosomal RNA". It matches the Rfam family "Bacterial small subunit ribosomal RNA", at positions 28 to 507 of the family's 1533-position model. The record is from RNAcentral.